RNAcentral lists this long non-coding RNA (311 nucleotides) under Manihot esculenta (cassava). Its description in RNAcentral is "long non-coding RNA (MESC_LNC012121)". The record is from RNAcentral. Lineage: Eukaryota; Viridiplantae; Streptophyta; Magnoliopsida; Malpighiales; Euphorbiaceae.
AGAGUUAAGGAGAGAGAAGCAAUAAAAAUCCAAGAGAGAAAGCGAAGGAGUGAGAAAGAGAGAGAGAGAGAGAGAGAGAGCAGGGAGGAGAGGAGAAGGGGGAGAGAGAGCACAAGUGAGUUAGAGUAAGGGAGAGGGUUGUCGGUCAAUAGGAAGUGAGUAAGGGAAGAAUUGUCGGUCGAUUGGCCAAUGAAUGAGGGAAAGGGCUGUCGGCAGUAAGGGUGAGUGAGGAAAGUGGCUGUCGGUAGUAAGGAGAGUGAGUGAGGGAUGGAGGAAGGGGCUGGUAUAGGGAGAACAAUGUGAUUUUAGAA